GAAAUGUGAUAAGUAAUGUGAAUUGCAGAAUCCAGUGAAUCAUCGAAUCUUUGAACGCACAUUGCGCCCGCCAGCAUUCUGGCGGGCAUGCCUGUUCGAGCGUCAUUUCAACCCUCGACCUCCCCUUGGGGAGGUCGGCGUUGGGGACCGGCAGCACACCGCCGGCCCUGAAAUGGAGUGGCGGCCCGUCCGCGGCGACCUCUGCGUAGUAAUACAGCUCGCACCGGAACCCCGACGCGGCCACGCCGUAAAACACCCAACUUCUGAACGUUGACCUCGAAUCAGGUAGGACUACCCGCUGAACUUAAGC
RNAcentral lists this unclassified non-coding RNA (310 nucleotides) under plant metagenome. RNAcentral describes it as "partial contains 5.8S ribosomal RNA, internal transcribed spacer 2, and large subunit ribosomal RNA". The stretch from base 1 to 105 matches the Rfam family "5.8S ribosomal RNA", at positions 50 to 154 of the family's 154-position model. The record is from RNAcentral.